AGGUUUUCAGUUUUCUUAGUAGUUCAGCUUGUACUUGAGUCACCAGAUGUAAAUUAGACAUUUCUCUCUUCAGUUCCCAGUAUGCAUGCUGCAUAUUAUCACUGAAAUAAAUUUUUUUACAAAAAGUUAAUACUCAUCAUUCUUUUUUAGACAAAAGGGAAUAACUUUAGAAAUAUGCAGAUCAAGUUUCUGCUCCAAUUAGUUUUGAGAUGAUGUAAACUGAAAAAAACAAUUGAAAGAUAUUUAACUAGGGCAUUAAUAAGUGAAAAGAUCUUGAAAGAAUAACACUGUCCAUCUGAUAUGUAGCAAUUAACUAUUAUAUUAAACGGUAUAAUAAAAAUAAAAUUAUAACUGAUAAGAGCUUCUUGCAGAGUCUCAGAACUGAGAUUUCAUUUUAGGCUGUAAUGUGCAGCUAUUAAUUAGUAAGUAGUAAGAAAUACAUUCUUUAUUUGCAAAUCUGAUUAAGAGUAAAGUUACAUUCAUUCAAAUAUGGAUCAAUUUGUAUUUAUCUUUUGAUUGUUUUGACACUGUGAAUUGAAAUGAUAUAUCAACUGCUGAAUAUAUAUCCAAGUCUACAUUAAAAUAAAAUUUAGGUUUCAUGCAUUACAUUCUUUAUGUUUGACUGGGCUGUCUCAUAAUGUUGGUUCUAAACCAAUGUGACAUGACAGCACAAGACAUGAAGAGCCAGAUGAUUUCCUGGUAAGGAAAAAGAAGCUAGAGAGGGAAGAUUAUAUGAAACAGAAAUAGAAACUUCAAAAAUGCCUCUCCUGUUUUUAUAAUUAAAAGUAUUUUACCUCAAUUAUCUAAGAAAUUAUAAUUAGUGAUUUUAAAUCUAAUUUUUAUAGAUUUUGUUUUCCAUUAAACAUUCAUAUUCAGACAUUCAUGAUUUUCUUUUUUUGCUGCUUAAUUGCCAACUAAAUGAAAUUAAAAUCUUCAGCACAUAUUCUCAUUUUGUUGUACAGGAAUAUCACAAAAUAUUAAAUGUAAGACUAAAUCUUAUAACAUUAAAAAAAAAUUAUUACCCCUUAGAUACUAGUGUAAUUUUAAUAGUACAGAAAUCAAACUAGACAAACGUGUCACCUUAUGCUUCAAUUUUUGUGUUGCCAUAAACACUUAAACUUCAAAAGGAUAACAUUUUUGAAAUCUAAUAUCUCAAAUUACAGAAUAUAGUUUAUAUUUAAUAUAUAAUAUAUAAAAUAUUUUGAAUUCUGUAAGGUGAAAUACCUUUUUGUCAAUAAACUUUACACUGCUUUUCAGAAAAAUCUGCUUUAGUCUGUUGUAAACAUCAUUUGUUAAGUUGUAGUAUAUUAGAAAUCAGAGCUCUUUGCAAGUUUUUAAUAGGUGUCAAAUAAUUAGUUCACAAAAUUAACCAUGUCUACUUCACCAAAAAACAUCUGAGUUGUUUGCUACAAUGAAUGUUUCACAUAGGAACCUGUCUUAAGUGUGAAGAGAGUUGUUGGUUUCUUGGUACAAUUCUAGGCAUUCAGUAUGCUUUCCGAAGAGUUACUCACAUUAUAUAGCAGUAAGUGUAAACACUGAACAUGUGCUAAUUCAUUCAUUCAGUCAUGGUAUGAAUAAUACAGCUUAAAAAUAGUUUAUUAUUGGUGCGAGACAGUAAAUCAGUGCCUGUUUUAGAGAAAAGAAGAGCAAAUACUGAAGACAGUUCUGAGUACUAAAAUACACAGCUAGGCAUGGAAAUAAACAAUUCUAGUAACGUUUACAGUGCCUAAUAAAAACUUUUCAGUUCAAUUUAAUGAAGACUGCUUAAAACUUAGGUUUAGUUAAAAACUAGGUCACUGAGUUUAAUACACAUGUAGUCUUGUUUUUUGCUCUUAAUGUAACCUGAAUUUAAAACUACAGAUAGACAAAUCUAAAAUUAUUACUAAGUAUAGCUCUCCCUCUUGUGGAUAAGAAAAUAACUGCAGUUAGUGUUUCCCACUUUACAGUUAACAUUAAAAGUGCUACAAUCUUCAAAGUGUGUAAAAAAUUAUUUUAAAUUCUAUCUACUUGAACAAAAUGUUUAAACCAUUAUUUAAAUGAUAUUGGAAAAGGCAAGUUGUCAUCCCUAAUUUUUAGCAGGCUUCCAAUUAAACCUCUUAUCUAGGUAUUUCAAAGACAAUGUAUAGAUUGUGACCUUCCUAUCCUCACCGCAGUUCCCCAACUGGGAGUAUAAAGUUUAGUUUUGCUUUAAAUGCCACACAAGCAAAAUGCUAGUAAUAUAUAUAGUUGUCUAUAAAGAACUUAUACAACUACUUAAAAUAUUGAAAUGUUACACUGAAACUUCUCAAAUGAGAACUCUAAAAACAGAUAAAGCACAAAUAAUGAUGGCUGAGCACUUAUUAUAUACUAGGCACUUCACCUACAUUGUCACACCAACUUGGUAAAGUGAGUAACCUCAUUUUACACACGAGGAAAUGGGUUGAGAAGUCUACUCCAGUCUGCCAUGUUGCUGUUCAAAGCUGUCUUUCACUUAACCCGGUCUAAUGACUGAUCACUGCCCUUUUGGAGUAACAUUUUUGAUAUCAUCAUCAAUUACCAAGCACCUACAAUAUGCUGACUGCCAACACAAUCUUAUAAGUUUUAUACUUCUCAGUAUAAAACUUCACAUCUCUGACUUUUAAGUGAAACCUGCAUGUCCACAACUGAAGGAGGGAGUACAUGUCCUGCUUACAAAGUGUAACAGCUAAAAGCCCAGCUUUCUUAAUUGACACUAUAUAUGGAACUCUUUAAUACACAAAUAACUAUUCCUUGUAUAAGAAAAAUCCACUUACUUGAGUUUCUACUUCAGCCAUACAUAUUUUUCUUUAGCAUUUGAAAAUUUACUGAACUAUUACAUCCUCCAUCAUCACAGUAGAAUUAAACUAUGGGAUAUUCUUAGCCAAGAGUUAUAGACUUAAAAGUGUGUAUUUUGACAACUGCGGUUCCCCCCAAACAAGUGGCUCUCAUUUUUUAUUGCAAGGCACAGCAAGAAUCAUUUUACACUGCAACCCAAAGAAAACAAGUUCUAAGAAACCAUACUUACCCUUAUUGUGUGUAAUGCACUCUGGUAUUGGUGUGUUCUUUCUGACUUAUUCCAUAUUUUUAUAAUGCUUAUUAUAACUAAUAAAAUUUCACAGCACUAAGGAAACACAGAAGAGCCUGAUAAACACUAACCUAAUCUUUUUUUUUCUAAACCUGGAAUUUACAUUUUAGGAAGUCAUCUGUAACACAGUUCCACAAUGUAAGUUUACAGAUGAUGAGCAAAAGAAGUACAGCGACUCCCUGUCUAGAUCUGGUUUAAAAACUGAAGCCAUCAACCUAAAGCCAAAAUCAAAACAGGACACUGGCAAGACAUUGGUUAAAUUUCUGAUAGGGCUAUUAUUGUUAAAUGAUGUUUUAUACAAGGAGUAUCAUAUAAAAGGCCUCCAGUAAUUAAAAGGUUCACUCUAUCUUAAGAUAGAGAAACAGUAUACUACACCUCAUUUGCCUAGCAAUAUGAUGGAAGAAAUACAAAAAAGGAGAGUUCCAAAAAAGCAAGUUAUCUAAAUAACUGAAAAAUAUUCCUUAAAAAUAUCUAAACCUUUAGUUAAUGGUUUAAUGGAAAUAUCCCUAUAUACUUUCUCCAAUAUAGUAAACUAAUCUGUCAUCUGAAUUGUUCCUCUUAAAAGUGGAUGAAGUAACUUACAAAGAUUAACAAAACACAAGAACAUAAACUGCAAACAGGCAGAAAUGAUGAGGCGAAAAAUAGAAAACAAAACAAAAUGCAGUGGAGAAUGAGGUUAACAUAAAAAUGCAUGAUAAAAGUUGACCAACAGUAGGCCACAAAUUUGGUUAUAAGUUUUCUAGUACAUAACCAGAAGAGAGAAACCUAAUCAGUUUUGCAGUUCACAUUGUCUACCUGAUACAAAUGCAAACCAAUUUGCAAAAAACCACAAGUGUAUAUGAGCACUAAGAGAGCCACUGGAACAUGCUGUAAUUACACAAUUCUUUACAUACAUACUGUUGGUAUGGCUUUAACGUGAAGUAACUUUUAAACUGAAUUUAAGGCAAUUAUUUCUAAAAACUGUCCUCUGAAUUGAUACUGAGCUUUAAAGAAUUGCGAGACUAUACUCUGGAGCCACAAUUACAGCUUUGCAGCCUUGAAAAUAUCUCCUUGGGACUCAACUUUCCCCAAAUCCUGGCACAGAGAUUUUUUCAGUAUUUUGUUAGUUAUCUGAUGCCUUCAAACAGGUAUUUUCUGGGGGAGUCAGGUUUUCAAGAAAUUCUUAGUGGAUAUGACCCAAAUUAUGUAAUCUCCCAUGAAUGGAAGCAGAAAUUCCAUUCUAUAUCACAUGCUUCAAAUGUACUAUUUAUAUAGCCCCUGUAUUUGAUCUCUUUUGAUGAUAUUAUUCAUUCUCUACUCCUUUCUAAACUGAUUAGAAGUGGCUUAUAAAAAGGACAAUACAGAAAAAUAAGGGGAAACCUAGGUUGACAGGAGAAAAGAUAACAAGAUAAUUUUAAGGAAUAGUUUACAUGGAUACUAUACUAGACACAUUUUUCAAAAAAAGAAAAAGUUUCCUUGCAGUAAACUUAGAUAAAAUUCGAAGGCAUAAUUGAAGUACUGUUCAAAUGGCAGAGUUAAAUAACAACAGAGACUGUACUGCCAGCUCACAAAGCCGAAUAAAACAGUUACUGCUGGCACUUUAUAGAAAAAGUCUGCCAACCCCUGAUCUAGAAGAGUGGCUGUAUCUCAUUUCCUCAAAUUGUUUUUCCUAAUUGAUCAUUUCUCUAAAGCAGGUUUUUGAUAGAAAUUGGCCUGACACAAUUCACAUUAUUUACUUAGGUCAGUAAACUUUGGAAGCCAAAUGAUAAAACAAUGAAGUCAGAUCAGUAUUUUUUAUUGGAUGGAGGGUAACAAUGUAGAGAGGCU
Molecule: long non-coding RNA, 4888 nt
Filed under: Homo sapiens (human)
Lineage: Eukaryota; Metazoa; Chordata; Mammalia; Primates; Hominidae
Description: HSALNT0052387
Source: RNAcentral